Molecule: ribosomal RNA, 1387 nt
Filed under: human gut metagenome
Description: bacterial LSU rRNA
Rfam family: Bacterial large subunit ribosomal RNA
Source: RNAcentral
GGUGAAAAGUACCCCUGACGGGGAGUGAAAAAGAACCUGAAACCUUGUGUUUACAAGCACCGAAAGCUCAUCAAAGAGCGAUCGGGUACCUUUUGUAGAAUGGUCCGGCGAGUGAAUGUAACCGGCGAGGUUAAGCACUUAAGGUGUGAAGCCGCAGCGAGAGCAAGUCUGAAUAGGGCGUAUGAAGUCGGUUGUAUUCGACCCGAAACCGGGUGACCUACCCAUGGUCAGGUUGAAGUAAAGGUAAAACUUUAUGGAGGACCGAACCGACUCCCGUUGAAAUGGUAGCGGAUGAACUGUGGGUAGCGGAGAAAUUCCAAUCGAACCCGGAGAUAGCUGGUUCUCUCCGAAAUAGCUUUAGGGCUAGCCUUGAAAUAGAUUACCGGAGGUAAAGCACUGAAUUGGCUAGGGGCCGAGAGGUUACUGAACCUUAUCAAACUAAGAAUGCCGGAUAAUCGUUUUUCAGGAGUCAGACAGUGGGAGAUAAGUUUCAUUGUCAAAAGGGAAACAGCCCAGACCCACAGCUAAGGUCCCCAAGUAUAGUUAAGUGGAAAAGGAUGUGGAAUUGCAUAGACAACCAGGAUGUUGGCUUAGAAGCAGCCACUCAUUAAAAGAGUGCGUAAUAGCUCACUGGUCGAGUGACUCUGCGCGGAAAAUAUAACGGGGCUAAGCAUGAAACCGAAGCUUGGGCUUGUACUUAGGUACAGGGGUAGGGGAGCGUCGAGUAUGGGGUGAAGUCAGAGCGGAAGCACUGGUGGACUGUACUGGAGUGAGAAUGCCGGAAUGAGUAGCGAGAAUUAUGUGGGAAUCAUAAUGGCCGAAAAUCUAAGGUUUCUUGGGGAAGGUUCGUCCGCCCAAGGUAAGUCGGGAGCUAAGCUCAGGCCGAGAGGCGUAGGCGAUGCACAUACGGUAGAAAUUCCGUAACCACCGAAACUUAAACAGAGGGACACUUCGAAAUAGCGGAACCCGGGCGUUGGUUGACCCGGGCGAAAGGGAGCGAAAUUAGAGUAGCGAAGUCCGCGAUGUUCGGAGGCGAGAAAAGCUCUGAGGUAUGCUAAGGUGCCCGUACCGCAAACCGACACAGGUAGAUGAGGAGAGAAUCCUAAGGCCAACGGGAGAAGGGUUGUUAAGGAACUCGGCAAAUUGACCCCGUAACUUCGGAAGAAGGGGAGCCCCCUACGGGGGGUCGCAGAGAAAUGGCCCAAGCAACUGUUUACCAAAAACACAGGUCUAUGCUAAAUCGAAAGAUGACGUAUAUGGGCUGACGCCUGCCCGGUGCCGGAAGGUUAAGAGGAGAUGUCAGCGCAAGCGAAGCAUUGAAUUGAAGCCCCGGUAAACGGCGGCCGUAACUAUAACGGUCCUAAGGUAGCGAAAUUCCUUGUCAGGU